RNAcentral lists this ribosomal RNA (861 nucleotides) under uncultured bacterium. Its description in RNAcentral is "bacterial SSU rRNA". It matches the Rfam family "Bacterial small subunit ribosomal RNA", at positions 60 to 898 of the family's 1533-position model. The record is from RNAcentral.
AGUUGAGCGCUGAAGGUUGGUACUUGUACCGACUGGAUGAGCAGCGAACGGGCCACAUUUACGCGUGGGGAAUCUGCCUUUGAGCGGGGGACAACAUUUCCAAACGAAUGCUAAUACCGCAUAACAACUUUAAACACAAGUUUUAAGUUUGAAAGAUGCAAUUGCAUCACUCAAAGAUGAUCCCGCGUUGUAUUAGCUAGUUGGUGAGGUAAAGGCUCACCAAGGCAAUGAUACAUAGCCGACCUGAGAGGGUGAUCGGCCACAUUGGGACUGAGACACGGCCCAAACUCCUACGGGAGGCAGCAGUAGGGAAUCUUCGGCAAUGGACGAAAGUCUGACCGAGCAACGCCGCGUGAGUGAAGAAGGUUUUCGGAUCGUAAACAACUCUGUUGGUAGAGAAGAACGUUGGUGAGAGUGGAAAGCUCAUCAAGUGACGGUAACUACCCAGAAAGGGACGGCUAACUACGUGCCAGCAGCCGCGGUAAUACGUAGGUCCCGAGCGUUGUCCGGAUUUAUUGGGCGUAAAGCGAGCGCAGGUGGUUUAUUAAGUCUGGUGUAAAAGGCAGUGGCUCAACCAUUGUAUGCAUUGGAAACUGGUAGACUUGAGUGCAGGAGAGGAGAGUGGAAUUCCAUGUGUAGCGGUGAAAUGCGUAGAUAUAUGGAGGAACACCGGUGGGGAAAGCGGCUCUCUGGCCUGUAACUGACACUGAGGCUCGAAAGCGUGGGGAAGCAACAGGAAUAAAUACCCUGGUAGUUCACGCCGUAAACGAUGAGUGCUAGAUGUAGGGAGCUAUAAGUUCUCUGGUUCGCAACUAACGCAAAAAAACACUCCCCCCUGGGGAGACCAACCGCAAGGUGAAA